GACGAACGCUGGCGGCGUGCUUAACACAUGCAAGUCGAACGGAAAGGCCCUGCUUUUGUGGGGUGCUCGAGUGGCGAACGGGUGAGUAACACGUGAGUAACCUGCCCUUGACUUUGGGAUAACUUCAGGAAACUGGGGCUAAUACCGGAUAGGAGCUCCUGCUGCAUGGUGGGGGUUGGAAAGUUUCGGCGGUUGGGGAUGGACUCGCGGCUUAUCAGCUUGUUGGUGGGGUAGUGGCUUACCAAGGCUUUGACGGGUAGCCGGCCUGAGAGGGUGACCGGCGGGAGGGGGAAGGAGGUAGGGGGGGGAGGGAUACGGGAGGCAGAGGGGGGGGGGCGGGAACAAUGGGCGGAAGUCGGAGGCAGCAACGCCGGGGGCGGGAGGACGGGCUGCGGGUUGUGAAAAGCAGGCGCCUGUGAAGAAGCGGGAGUGAGGGUAAUGGGUAAAGAAGGAAGGGCGAAUGAGGGG
This 468-nucleotide ribosomal RNA is filed under the name uncultured bacterium. RNAcentral's name for it is "partial 16S ribosomal RNA". It matches the Rfam family "Bacterial small subunit ribosomal RNA", at positions 28 to 507 of the family's 1533-position model. The record is from RNAcentral.